AACGAACGCUGGCGGCAUGCCUAACACAUGCAAGUCGAACGAACCCUUCGGGGUUAGUGGCGCACGGGUGCGUAACGCGUGGGAAUCUGCCCUUUGCUUCGGAAUAACUCAGGGAAACUUGUGCUAAUACCGGAUGAUGUCUUCGGACCAAAGAUUUAUCGGCAAGGGAUGAGCCCGCGUAGGAUUAGGUAGUUGGUGGGGUAAAGGCCUACCAAGCCGACGAUCCUUAGCUGGUCUGAGAGGAUGAUCAGCCACACUGGGACUGAGACACGGCCCAGACUCCUACGGGAGGCAGCAGUGGGGAAUAUUGGACAAUGGGCGCAAGCCUGAUCCAGCUAUGCCGCGUGAGUGAUGAAGGCCCUCGGGUCGUAAAGCUCUUUUACCAGGGAUGAUAAUGACAGUACCUGGAGAAUAAGCUCCGGCUAACUCCGUG
This 433-nucleotide ribosomal RNA is filed under the name uncultured bacterium. RNAcentral's name for it is "partial 16S ribosomal RNA". It matches the Rfam family "Bacterial small subunit ribosomal RNA", at positions 29 to 507 of the family's 1533-position model. The record is from RNAcentral.